Molecule: non-coding RNA, 1326 nt
Organism: Pelobates cultripes (western spadefoot toad)
Lineage: Eukaryota; Metazoa; Chordata; Amphibia; Anura; Pelobatidae
Source: the annotation of a GenBank genome assembly
GAUUGCCUGAAAGACUGCAUAGCCUGGAUCCUGUGUUAAAACCUGUGGACGUACCUUAUUGGCUUCAAAACCUGCUUUACUCACUAACCUGCUCCAUACCAGCCUGAACACCUCUACAUUCCUGCUUGACUUCCAACUGGCUUAAUUCUAUACUGGGCUUUAAUGUGUUAUUACUUUGUGGCUACCUGCGUUACUCCUACAUUCCAGAUAAUAUUGGCAUCUACGAUAAAAGACCUGUUACUACAGUACAACCUCUAAUCCACAGAGACUGAACAGCUACAAACCAAUAUAAGUAACCUUUUAUAUUUCUGUUUAGUUAUGUUUUCCUGUAACUUAUUAUCUCCUUAAUAGGCUUUAAUUCUCUUGCUUUAUUUUUCACAGGUUUACCUGUUUCUUUAUAUCCUGUUCUGGGGCAUAUUGCCUAAGUCCUCUUUUCUGUUUCCCUCCAGUUUGUACCUGUAAUUUCUCUAAUCUUCAAUCUCCUACCAAUAACUUCAUUUAUAGGUUUACCUUUUUAACACUUUUGGGCUUAUUGUCUAAACCCUUUAUUUCAUAGCCUAGUUACUAGUUACAGAUAUUCGGUUCUGUCUCCUAUCUCUCUCUCUUUCCUAUAACUUCAGUUAUAGGAUUUCUUGUUAAUACUAUAAUAUCUAAGAUCUCAAAGACCUUGACGUUAACCCCAGUUUCAGUCUCAUCCCUGACCUGCACAAGAUCAUGACACUCGGGAGACUUCGCUGAACACAAAUAUUUGUUUCAAAACAGUAAAACUUAUUACAACAAUGGUACCAUCAGUAAAAAUGCUGUUUUGUGUGUGAAAAAUGCAAAACACUUCACUUUCACUGACCAUAUCAUUGCUGUGAUGUUUUGAAACCCUAUUAUUUGUGUUUAGCGAAAUCCCCUGGAGUAUAGGGUUUGGGGUGUCUUGGAAAGUUACAGGGUUAAAUACAGUGCUAGCAAAUUACAUUAUCUGGACUUUUGGCCUGGGUUGUCAGGGAGGUCCCUCAAAUUGCAAUCAAUAAACGAAUUAUGUAAAACUAUUACAUAAACAAGCACUUAGAAUUUAAAUAUAUAUACAUAUUUAUUAAGAUAUCUUGUAUAUCUGACGUCUACGUUUAAAUUUAUGAAAUUAUUCAUGUAAUUAUGUAUCUAGGUGUAUUUUGAUAUAAUUAUAUUAUUUUUUUUAUACAUAUAUAUAUAUAUACGUGUGUAAUUUUACUCAGUAUUUUUUAGCCUCAACUUUUUUUUUUUUUUUUUUUAUUGAAAUUAUUGUUUAAAGUUGACAAACAUUUAACAAGCAUGUUAAGCACGAUAAAUAUGACAAUAUAU